AUUAGGAAUCUUGUGCAAUGGGCGACAGCCUGACACAGCGACGCCGCGUGGGGGAGGAAGGCCUUCGGGUUGUAAACCCCUUUUGUAGAGGAAGAAACAAAUGACGGUACUCUACGAAUAAGCCCCGGCUAACUCCGUGCCAGCAGCCGCGGUAAUACGGAGGGGGCGAGCGUUGUCCGAAGUUACUGGGCGUAAAGGGCGCGUAGGCGGGAGGGUAAGUCCGCUGUGAAAGCCCGGCGCUUAACGCCGGAGGGUCGGUGGAGACUGCCUUUCUUGAAGGUGCCAGGGGGAGAUGGAAUUACCGGUGUAGCGGUGAAAUGCGUAGAGAUCGGUAGGAACACCAGUGGCGAAGGCGGUCUCCUGGAGCAUGCUUGACGCUGAGGCGCGAAAGCUGGGGGAGCGAACGG
Molecule: ribosomal RNA, 407 nt
Filed under: uncultured bacterium
Lineage: Bacteria
Description: bacterial SSU rRNA
Rfam family: Bacterial small subunit ribosomal RNA
Source: RNAcentral